RNAcentral lists this long non-coding RNA (999 nucleotides) under Aotus nancymaae (Ma's night monkey). RNAcentral describes it as "lncRNA (ENSANAG00000038987.1)". Lineage: Eukaryota; Metazoa; Chordata; Mammalia; Primates; Aotidae. The record is from RNAcentral.
AGACGACCUCAGCAUAGAACCAGGACCCCUUGACAGAGACAUUGCCAUUCUGGGCACUCCACACCCAAGCCAGUUCAUCCAAAUCACCCAGUAAAGCUGUGCUCUGAAGAAACUACCUGUUGCACCAAACUCCUUACCUUACCGGACACACAGCGAUGGCCAGCGUAGAAUGAGGCCGUGGGAGGAUCUUAAUGACACAGUCCACUCUGCAAACCAGGGUCCACAAAGCAGCAGUGGUGGGGAGCACUGCGGUGGGAGCAGCUGCAGAGGAUGGCAGAGUCUUUCCUGCGGGAUUCUGGAAUAUUGUGUCCUCUCUGGAAGAGAGACAAGGAGUGAGGUUACAAAACACUUGUGCUCUCCCGGACCCACAAUCCAUCAGGAGGGGUACGCUGGCUGCCUGGUAACCACGCCAUUUCCUGAAUUCGCAGACCUCUUUAACACCAUCCAAACAUUAGAAAGGUGGGUGGCCACACCUGUUUUGUGCACUUCCUGAUAAUCUCAUUUUGAUUUAAGUAUUUAUUAGGAAGCAAAGUAAAAGACUAUUUGCACUAUAAAUUGCAGAUAUUUAUGUGUAAUCCCCAAUAAAUGGGAAUUUCAUGGGAAAAGGUGGAAACUCGAAAGGGCUUGAGCGGUUGCUGCAGUGCCCAGGGGAGUUUGCUGUUGCCCGGGCUGACUCCGUGAGUCCAGCUCUCUCCUUGGAGAAAGGGAGCUACUGGGGAGUCGAAUGCCAUGGUGGCCAAGGGCCGGGCAGCAGAUCUCAGAGAUCUUCACGUGAAUCUUGUUAUUACCAGACGUGGAUAAUUGAUUCUCCCUUAACUGUAUUAAUAGUUCCCUUAUCUGUGAAAGAAGUAACUCAUGGCUUUGUUGGGAGGAUUAAAUGAGAUUAGUGAAGGGUUUAGUACAGCAUAUAUUUUGCACUCAGUAAGUGAUCAUUGCUAUUUUGCCCUAUUGUUUCAAAACACCAUCCAUUCCCAUGAUACAAAUAGUGCAAGCGUAGGA